GGGUUGUUAGCUCAGUUGGUAGAAGCAGUGGACUCUUAAUCCAAAGGUCAAGGGUUCAACCCCCUUACAACCCA
RNAcentral lists this transfer RNA (74 nucleotides) under Siphoviridae sp. ctnPP24. Its description in RNAcentral is "tRNA-Lys". It matches the Rfam family "tRNA". Rfam says of the family: Transfer RNA (tRNA) molecules are approximately 80 nucleotides in length. Lineage: Duplodnaviria; Heunggongvirae; Uroviricota; Caudoviricetes. The record is from RNAcentral.